Molecule: long non-coding RNA, 506 nt
Organism: Salvelinus sp. IW2-2015
Lineage: Eukaryota; Metazoa; Chordata; Actinopteri; Salmoniformes; Salmonidae
Source: RefSeq, a predicted model, not a curated record
GGAUCAGAGAACGAACCUAGUGUGGAGUAUUGUGGUUGUGCCACAGAGCAUUAUGGGGGUUCUAUGGGUUGCAAGCUUGAGUCAAGCUUCUUGGAAAAAGCCACAUCGAUCAUGUAAUGGACGAACGUCUGCAUAUUCAAACUGCGCAACACAACGAGAAGGUGAUGACCAGUCCACUCCACUGYCAUUGUCAACUCUCUCCUGACAUGGACUGAAGCCACAUCUCAUGUGCCUGCUCAUCCACAGGCACAAUGAAUGUUUCCUCUCCAAGCACUUCAAAUCCUGUCCUGCCCUCAGUGGAAGAGUUGAGCUCUUCUCCAACACCAUCCGUCUAUGAUGAGCUUGUCCUGCACUGAAGCUUAUGAACACCUCAUCCCCUGUCCUGCACUAAAGUCAAGCCUCUGAAUACCUCAACUCAUGCCUCAUAACCUCAUCCAAUCACUGCUGUGAUCCCUUCUACACUGUGUAGAAGUAGCUGUUUCAUUUCCAUUACCCAUAAUACUGUA